This 490-nucleotide ribosomal RNA is filed under the name uncultured bacterium. Its description in RNAcentral is "partial 16S ribosomal RNA". It matches the Rfam family "Bacterial small subunit ribosomal RNA", at positions 30 to 507 of the family's 1533-position model. The record is from RNAcentral.
AUUGAACGCUGGCGGCAGGCCUAACACAUGCAAGUCGAACGGUAACAGGAAGAAGCUUGCUUCUUUGCUGACGAGUGGCGGACGGGUGAGUAAUGUCUGGGAAACUGCCUGAUGGAGGGGGAUAACUACUGGAAACGGUAGCUAAUACCGCAUAACGUCGCAAGACCAAAAAGGGGGACCUUCGGGCCUCUUGCCAUCGGAUGUGCCCAGAUGGGAUUAGCUAGUAGGUGGGGUAACGGCUCACCUAGGCGACGAUCCCUAGCUGGUCUGAGAGGAUGACCAGCCACACUGGAACUGGGACACGGUCCAGACUCCUACGGGAGGCAGCAGUGGGGAAUAUUGCACAAUGGGCGCAAGCCUGAUGCAGCCAUGCCGCGUGUAUGAAGAAGGCCUUCGGGUUGUAAAGUACUUUCAGCGGGGAGGAAGGGAGUAAAGUUAAUACCUUUACACAUUGACGUUACCCGCAGAAGAAGCACCGGCUAACUACGUG